Molecule: long non-coding RNA, 447 nt
Filed under: Vigna radiata
Lineage: Eukaryota; Viridiplantae; Streptophyta; Magnoliopsida; Fabales; Fabaceae
Description: long non-coding RNA (VRAD_LNC013380)
Source: RNAcentral
AAGUUCAAAUUUGAAACCUGAUGCAACCUAGACUAACUUUUCUUAAACAUCUCAGCAGCUUAUUGUUUGUCUUUUAUUGAUUUUAAAAUCUGUUCUAGUUUUAUUCUUUAGGUUCUAUUUGUUGUGCUUACCUUUAUUCACUAGCCUUGUUUCUUGUUUGUCAAUUGUUGGCUAUCUUGGUUUUGUCUUUCACGUGUGCAAUCUAUUCUGCCAUUCUUUAAUUGACCUUUUGUUGUUUUUGUAAUCUGUUCUAGAGUUAAUCUUGAGUCAGUUUCUCUGCUGUGCUGUCAGUUUUCCUUAUCUGGUGCUUACCUUGUUGUUAGCUGUUCUGUUUUGUCAUCCCUUAGCCAAGCCAUUUCCUGUUUGUGAAGCUGAUAUCACUUUGGUUUUUGGAAAUUGAAAGAGAGGUAUUUGUGAAUGGUAGCCUCUUAGGUGGAAGUGAUCCAC